UUUUUUUUUUUUUUUGGAUGGCUUGGUGCCUUUUAUCAUUAAAAGUGCAUAUCAUUUAAACAAACGGGAAGCGUGACAUUUCUAAGAAAACGAUUGCCGAAGGGGGAUAGCGCUAUUAAUUUUCAAGGUUAUUCCUUCAAAGAACACCCUUUUAGCACACGAUAUGAAACAGCGCAAAGCUUAGCAUGUCAACAGGUUUUGGUUCUGGGACCUCCAAAAGAAUCUCCUGCAUCUGGAGCAGCAUGACUGCACCUCCAGCUCUUUCCACGUCAGCACUGCUGAGAGCAAGGCCCGGGGCCAUGGCCAAUGGCUUAGUUAAGAAAAACUGGAUGUGUUCACUCUCCACAUACCACAGAAAGAAAGCCACAGCUUUUUGUUUGUUUUUAAAGGAUAUGCUUUCAUCACAUGUAUCCCCAACUUCUGGCUCCAUUUGGCCAUAGGUCAAGCCCAGUAUCCUUGAUGGAGGAGCAGUGAACUUGUAAACCACCUGGAAAUCCAGCCCCCAGAAGACAUCAAGGAGAUCUUUUUAAUAUACCAUGAUGCUAUAACAGAAAGCCCAUAAAUCAAAGUCCAAAAUAAACUAGUCAUAGCCCAAUUUAUUGGCAGGCUCUAUUCUGUACCUUCCAGAUGCAUUGGCCUCUGGGACUGAAGCCAACACAGAAAGACCAUUCCAUAGGAGUCAAGACCAGCUUGGCUAAGAGACAAGAAUGUAGUAUAUUGGUGUUUGGCACCAAAACGUGCCUUAAUUUUAGCCACAGUAAAUAGGAGCAUCACACUAUCGUUUAAAUAGCUCAUAAAUGGAGUAACCGAAAUGGAUCUGCGCAUUAAAAAGAAAAAACUAUCAAGUACCAAUUUUUUGCUUUCAUUGCUGCAUAUGCUGCUUAGAGAAAAUAGUCUUGCUGGGGCUUAUCUAUUAUGCAACCGAUAAAAUUUAAGAGGGGCUAGAGUGAAGGAGAAUCAAGGACUUUUCCCAAAGCCUGGAUAUGGCAUUCUGGGAAGAAUGCCUGGUGUGUUCUGCAGCACUGCUCUAUACCAAUCAGAAAAUUACUGCUAUAUUGGAGUUCCCAUUGUGGCCAUAGUGGCACAGUGUUUAACGAAUCCGACUAAGAACCAUGAGGUUGAGGGUUCGAUCCCUGGCCUUGCUCGGCGGGUUAAGGAUCCGGCAUUGCUGUGAGCUGUGGUGUAGGUUGCAGAUGCAGCUCGGAUCCUGAGUUGCUGUGGCUCUGGUGUAGGCCGGCAGCUAUGGCUCCAAUUGGACCCCUGGCCUGGGAACCUCCAUAUGCCACAGGCAUGGCCCUAGAAAAGGCAAAAAGAGAAAAAAAAAGAAAGAAAGAAAAUUACUGCUAUCAUCAUACAUGUUGCCAAGAAAUCCAGACUCCCUAUCUCUUCUCACUUCAAUUUGACCUUGUGGUUUCACAGGAAGAGACCAACAAUAAGUCCAAAUGCAGCAGAAGUGGUAUAGAAAAUAAAUGUUGCCUCCAAGACAUACACAAUUAAAGUUAGGCUAGAAUACUGACGAUCUAGAUUCAACAGGUUUGAAAAUUUAUCAGGAUCCCCCCACCCCAGAAGAAGAAAAUUCCUUUCACAUUUCCUAGGAAGAGCUUGACAAAUAAGAUGUGGUGGGUGGAUAGCCACAUCCCUUUAGAAAUGGAUAGCUUAGGGAAUUCCCAUUGUGAAGCAGCAGAAAUGCAUCCUAUUAGUAUCCAUGAGGUUUCGGGUUCCAUCCCUCCCCUUGCUCUUUGGGUUAAGGAUCUGGCAUUGACAUGAGCUGUUGUGUAGGUUGCAGACAGGGCUCAGAUCCUGCAUUGCUGUGGCUGUGGCUGUGGUGUAGGCUGGCAGCUGUAGCUCCAAUUCAAUCCCAAGCCAGGGAACUUCCAUAUUCCAUGGGUGCAGCCCUAAAAGAAAAGGGAAGGGAAGGAAGGAAAAAAGGAAGGGAUAGCUCAGAGAUUUAAAAAAAAAAAAAAAAAAAAAAAGGCACUGUCAAAAAUCAAUGCUACAACAAGUUAGAUUGCUGGUGCCAACAGCAAAAGCCACACAACAUUCACAGGGUGACAUUUUCAGUCAUGUUAGGGAACAUCAAUCCUGAUCCGGACAUUAGCCAUUUUCUACAAAUGCUCUUCAGUCCAAGAGUGUUACUUGAGAAUCAGUUACAUUGGCAAAGCCACAACUCUUUCCAAGGCUGAGCUCCAGCGCUGAAGGCUGACAUGAUGAAUGUCUCUAAAGGUAGCUGAACUCGCUCUCCAGGACCAGACUGCAGGGGCUCAGUUCCAAGCGGCAGUUUCAAAGCUUUGCAUACACAUGAUUUGAUUCCAAUACAUGAUUUGGUCUUAGAUUAAAGAUGCAGUCAGAACUGGUUGCCUAUUUUCUCAUGCUCUACAACGAGCACAUCUGUGGCCUACAUUGGCCAUCAGAAGCAAACAUCACCAAAAUAAAGAGUCCUGGGGUCUGCUACUGAUUUAAUAAUUACUCUGAGCAGCUCAUAUCAUCUCUGCUUCUAGACUUUCUCUGAGGGAUUUAGUCUCAGUAAUGCCCAAGACCCCUUUCUGUUUUCAGAAUCUUCGUUUAGGAACUGGCAAUAAAAAAGGGAGAUGUAUAUUUAAAAGACUGAUCAUUUGACCUCAGACUAUUUCAAACUUCCUUCGAAAAAAGACAUAAGAAAUUUCUGACUUCUUUUUUUAAGCAUGAAGGAAAUGCCUGUAUUUGAAUAAAGGCAACAUCAAGAAAAGCAGGGUGCUUAAGGAUAGAGACCAGCCACAAUAACAUUAUUCAAGCCCCUAGAUGCAGCUAUUCCUGAAGUAGAUGUGCUUCAGGACCUUCCAGUUACAUGAGCCAAUAAAUUUUCUUUCAUGCUUAGUGCAUUUACAGGUUGAGUUUGUAGUCAUUCAAAGCCAGGUGAUUCCUGACCAAUAGACAGAAUGUGGAAUCUGUAGGACCUCUAAAGAGUGUUCAUUAUUUUAGUUUAUCAUUUUAGGUACCGGAUUUAAUAUACUUCAACUUUAGUAACUUGAUCAUUACAGAAGAAAUGGACUCUAUGAACAACCUACUUAUACUGAAAUCUGCAUUUGCCUAGAUUAGUCUAUAGUCCAGUAGAAAGAAGUAUGUGUAAGCUCCACUGAAGGAAAAAGGUAAAUGUAAACAAGGAGUGAGAGUUAACUAAAGAGAUGAAUUAGUGAAUGCCUUUCUCUAAAAGCCCUGGGCCAGUCACACAGAGGCCCUGGCCAAGAUUGCCGGGGCCACAUCCAUGCCCCACGAUCCAGGUGGUCGCACUGAAUAGCCAAAGGCAGAUGGAGGCAGAAAGCAAAAACACCCCACAUCUCAGUGACUGCCAAAUGACAAGCCUGGGAAGCCAAAAUAUACCUGGCAAGUCCACGGAAUAAACCAGGCUAGAACCACAGCAAAAUAUAAUUCAGAGGGACUGAGUCAAGAAGUCCAGAAUACUAAUACAAAAUAGCACCGGCCACUCAAACCCUAGUUAAGGGGGUUCCUAUCUCAUGGUGUGCAGGAUCAGGUGGACACCAGGCAGAAGACCUUCGGGCUUAGGAAGGAAAGGAAAGAAAUGAAAAAGGGAAAGGGGACUAGAAGAGGAAAGAAGAUGGAACAGGAAAAACAAGAUACCGUGCUUAGGACGAGAGCCUCGGAAACAGACGUGGGUUCACAUUUGGGUUUAACUUCUUCCUGUGAGGCUUCUUUUCUUCUUCCCCCCUUGCUCCCCUCAUUUUUUCCCUUUCUUUUUGCUCUUCACAGUUUUAUUGAAUUACAGGGUACGUACCAUAAAUUCACACAUUUCAAGUGCACCAAUCAGUGACUUAGUAACUUACCCAGUGCUGCAGCUGUCACCACACAACAGUUCUAGGACACUCAUCUCUCCAAUAAGAGCCUUUAUGUUCACUUAUUCUUAAUCCCCAUCCCCACUCUCAGCUCCAGGCAACCGUGCUUUUCUGUCUCUAAACAUCUGCCCUCUCUGAACACCUGACAUAAAUGAAAUCAUACCAUACAAUGUCUCUUGUGUCUGGCCUCUCUCAUUUAGCAUCAUGUUUUUGAGACUCAUUCAUCAUCUAUGGCUUAGCAAAUGUCAGAUGUGGAGCCACCCUUUUUUUUGCUGAAGAGUAGUUCAUUGUAGGUAUGAGACUGACUUUCUUUUUUUAAAACCAUUUUCUUUUUUUCUUUUUUUUUCCUUUGUUUUUAUAGCCACACCUGUGGCAUACAGACGUUCCCAGGCAAGGGGUAAAAUCAGAGCUGCAGUUGCAGGCCUACACCACAGCCUCAGCAACUCAGGAUCCAAGCCACAUCUGUGACCUAUGGGGGAGCCUGCAGCAAUGCCAGAUCCUUAACCUACUGAGCAAGUCCAGGGAUCAAACCUGCAUCCUCACUGACACUGUCAGGUUCUUAACCCGCUGAGCCACAAUAGGAACGCUGAGACUUAUUUUCUUAAGCCUCAGUUUCCUUAUCUGUAAAAUAGGGAUAAGAAUAAUAAAACCAAUUUGAUAGAGUAUUACAGUAAUCAAUGAAAUAGUACAUAUUAAUAGGAUAGCACAGCAGCAGGUGCCCAGCACACACAUAAUUAAUUUUAAGAAGCUACAGUAGUAAUAGAAAGUAAAGCAUCACUAUUUCAACAUCUUCAAUUCUCUGACUUUUACACACAUCGCCUUCCUCCUAUUCACUAUCUAGGGAAGAAAAGGGAGGUACAUUUGCCUGCAUUUUUAUAGAAAAGGACAGGAGAACAAAAGCUAAGUGAGUACCUCCCGCCCAUGAGAACCUCGGGGUGGAAUGGAGAGGAGUGCUUUGGCACAGACAGCUCACAAAACGCAGCAUCUCCUAAAGAGCAUCACCCUGACUGUCAGCGAGCCUAUUGCUUCUAAGAAUAUCUGGGGGAGAUGGCAGAAUUGAGUCCAUAAUGCAUAGAUUCACUUUCCAAAAAAAAAAAAAAAAAAAAUGGGAUGAUAAUGAUGCAGGAGAAAGCUUUGUAAGUGGGAAUAAUAGUGUUGAGAGUGAGAAAGGGAACAAAUAACAAGUGAAUUGGAAAAUGCUACCCAAACCUGCUGUGUACUUGAUGCUGUAAGGUCUCUCCCAGGGAACUGCUGGGGCAGCCC
This 5090-nucleotide long non-coding RNA is filed under the name Sus scrofa (pig). Its description in RNAcentral is "lncRNA (ENSSSCG00065064768.1)". Lineage: Eukaryota; Metazoa; Chordata; Mammalia; Artiodactyla; Suidae. The record is from RNAcentral.